This 468-nucleotide ribosomal RNA is filed under the name uncultured bacterium. RNAcentral's name for it is "partial 16S ribosomal RNA". It matches the Rfam family "Bacterial small subunit ribosomal RNA", at positions 28 to 507 of the family's 1533-position model. The record is from RNAcentral.
GACGAACGCUGGCGGCGUGCUUAACACAUGCAAGUCGAACGGAAAGGCCCUGCUUUUGUGGGGUGCUCGAGUGGCGAACGGGUGAGUAACACGUGAGUAACCUGCCCUUGACUUUGGGAUAACUUCAGGAAACUGGGGCUAAUACCGGAUAGGAGCUCCUGCUGCAUGGUGGGGGUUGGAAAGUUUCGGCGGUUGGGGAUGGACUCGCGGCUUAUCAGCUUGUUGGUGGGGUAGUGGCUUACCAAGGCUUUGACGGGUAGCCGGCCUGAGAGGGUGACCGGCCACAUUGGGCCUGAGAGACGGCCCAGACGCCUACGGGAGGCAGCAGUGGGGAAUCUUGCACAAUGGGCGGAAGCCUGAUGCAGCAACGCCGCGUGCGGGAUGACGGCCUUCGGGUUGUAAACCGCUUUCGCCUGUGACGAAGCGUGAGUGACGGUAAUGGGUAAAGAAGCACCGGCUAACUACGUG